This 728-nucleotide ribosomal RNA is filed under the name uncultured bacterium. RNAcentral's name for it is "bacterial SSU rRNA". It matches the Rfam family "Bacterial small subunit ribosomal RNA", at positions 51 to 777 of the family's 1533-position model. The record is from RNAcentral.
ACACAUGCAGUCGAGCGGAUGAGGGAGCUUGCUCCUGGAUUCAGCGGCGGACGGGUAAGUAAUGCCUAGGAAUCUGCCUGGUAGUGGGGGACAACGUUUCGAAAGGAACGCUAAUACCGCAUACGUCCUACGGGAGAAAGCAGGGGACCUUCGGGCCUUGCGCUAUCAGAUGAGCCUAGGUCGGAUUAGCUAGUUGGUGAGGUAAUGGCUCACCAAGGCGACGAUCCGUAACUGGUCUGAGAGGAUGAUCAGUCACACUGGAACUGAGACACGGUCCAGACUCCUACGGGAGGCAGCAGUGGGGAAUAUUGGACAAUGGGCGAAAGCCUGAUCCAGCCAUGCCGCGUGUGUGAAGAAGGUCUUCGGAUUGUAAAGCACUUUAAGUUGGGAGGAAGGGCAGUAAAUUAAUACUUUGCUGUUUUGACGUUACCGACAGAAUAAGCACCGGCUAACUCUGUGCCAGCAGCCGCGGUAAUACAGAGGGUGCAAGCGUUAAUCGGAAUUACUGGGCGUAAAGCGCGCGUAGGUGGUUUGUUAAGUUGGAUGUGAAAUCCCCGGGCUCAACCUGGGAACUGCAUCCAAAACUGGCAAGCUAGAGUAUGGUAGAGGGUGGUGGAAUUUCCUGUGUAGCGGUGAAAUGCGUAGAUAUAGGAAGGAACACCAGUGGCGAACGCGACCACCUGGACUGAUACUGACACUGAGUGCGAAAGCGUGGGGAGCAAACAGGA